RNAcentral lists this ribosomal RNA (485 nucleotides) under uncultured bacterium. Its description in RNAcentral is "bacterial SSU rRNA". It matches the Rfam family "Bacterial small subunit ribosomal RNA", at positions 29 to 508 of the family's 1533-position model. The record is from RNAcentral.
AUUGAACGCUGGCGGCAUGCUUUACACAUGCAAGUCGAGCGGCAGCGCGGGGGCAACCCUGGCGGCGAGCGGCGAACGGGUGAGUAAUGCAUCGGAACGUGUCCCGUAGUGGGGGAUAACGCCGCGAAAGCGGCGCUAAUACCGCAUACGACCUACGGGUGAAAGCAGGGGAUCGCAAGACCUUGCGCUAUCGGAGCGGCCGAUGUCAGAUUAGCUUGUUGGCGGGGUAAAAGCCCACCAAGGCGACGAUCUGUAGCUGGUCUGAGAGGACGACCAGCCACACUGGGACUGAGACACGGCCCAGACUCCUACGGGAGGCAGCAGUGGGGAAUUUUGGACAAUGGGCGCAAGCCUGAUCCAGCCAUGCCGCGUGCGGGAAGAAGGCCUUCGGGUUGUAAACCGCUUUUGUCAGGGAAGAAACGCUCCGGGUUAAUACCUCGGAGUAAUGACGGUACCUGAAGAAUAAGCACCGGCUAACUACGUGC